CAAGCUACAAAGGGCGCGUAGAGGAUGCCUUGGCAAUGAGAGGCGAUGAAGGACGUACUAGACUGCGAAAAUCUACGAUGAGCUGUCAAGGAGCGAUUAAUCGUAGGAAUCCGAAUGGGGCAACCCGGUGACGUGAGUCAUCACCCGAAAGGGAGCGAACGCGGGGAAGUGAAACAUCUCAGUACCUGCAGGAAGAGAAAGUAAAAAACGAUUCCGUAAGUAGUGGUGAGCGAAAGCGGAAGAGCCUAAACCGAUGUCUAAGGAUGUCGGGGUUGCGGGAGCGGCAUAAAGUGAGCUGGAAGCUAGAGGAACUGUCUGGGAAGGCAGGUCAGAGAGGGUGAGAACCCCGUACUUGAAAGUGGAAGGUGAGCGAGCCGAUGUCCCAAGUACCUCAGGAAACGUGGGGUCCGGGGGGAAUCAGUGAGGACCAUCUCAUAAGGCUAAAUACUACUCAUUGACCGAUAGUGAACGAGUACCGUGAGGGAAAGGUGAAAAGAACCCCUGUUAGGGGAGUGAAAUAGAAUCUGAAACUACGUGCCUACAAGCGGUCGAAGCAGAACUUCGGUUUUGUGACGGCGUGCCUUUUGCAUAAUGAGCCUGCGAGUUAUCAUAUCCAGCGAGGUUAAGGCGUUAGCUGAAGCCGAAGGGAAACCGAGUCUGAAUAGGGCGUCAGUUGGAUGUGGUAGACCCGAAACCAGUCGAUCUAUCCAUGCGCAGGUUGAAGCGGCGGUAAGACGCCGUGGAGGACCGAACCGGUUAAGGUUAAAAACUUUUCGGAUGACGUGUGGAUAGGGGUGAAAGGCUAAUCAAGGCUGGUGAUAGCUGGUACUCCCCGAAAUGUAUUUAGGUGCAGCCUCGUGUGAUGAGUAAUAGGGGUAGAGCUCUGUUAGUGCUAAGGGCCGUACAGGUUACUGACCAUUGACAAACUACGAAUACUAUUAUGUUAGCACGGGAGUAAGACUGCGGGUGAGAAGAUCCGUAGUCGAGAGGGUAAGAGCCCAGACCGUCAACUAAGGUCCCUAAAUUUUUGCUAAGUGGUAAAGGAUGUGAAGAUAGUGAGACAGCCAGGAGAUUGGCUUAGAAGCAGCCAUUCUUUAAAGAAAGCGUAACAGCUCACUGGUCUAGUGUCUUUGCGCCGAAGAUAUAACGGGGCUAAGCAAAAUACCGAAGUUACGGAUUUAUACCUUAGGGUAUAAGUGGUAGGGGAGCAUUCCACUCAGCGGUGAAGGUCAUCUGUAAGGGUGGCUGGAGCGUGUGGAAGGGAGAAUGCAGGCAUGAGUAGCGAUAAUAUAUGUGAGAAACAUAUACGCCGAAAGUCUAAGGUUUCCACCGGCAGGGUAAUCCGCGGUGGGUUAGUCGGACCCUAAGAUGAGCCCGAGAGGGGUAGUUGAUGGGAAACAGGUUAAAAGUCCGUACUGACAUAACGUCGUUAACACGAUGCGGUGACGGAGAAGGUUAUGCGAGCCGGUUAUUGGAUUCCGGUUUAACAAUGUAGUGUGUGUUCUUGAUAAGUCCGGAGCACGUUAAGCACGAGGUUGGUACACGAGCUGGGCAACCAGCGAGUCGCAAAUACCAUGCUUCCAAGAAAAACCGCUAAGGAGAUGUUAUGUUAUCCGUACCGCAAACCGACACAGGUAGACGGGAAGAGAAUUCUAAGGCGUUUGAGAUAACUCCGGUUAAGGAACUCGGCAAAUUGUCACCGUAACUUCGGGAGAAGGUGAGCCUAUUGUACGUGAAGCGCGCACGCGUGGAGCGGAAGUGGGUCGCAGAAAAGAGGCCCAGGCGACUGUUUAUCAAAAACAUAGCACUAUGCAAACUCGUAAGAGGAGGUAUAUGGUGUGACGCCUGCCCGGUGCUGGAAGGUUAAUAGGAGAUGUGCGAGCAUUGAAUUGAAGCCCCAGUAAACGGCGGCCGUAACUAUAACGGUCCUAAGGUAGCGAAAUUCCUUGUCAGGUAAGUUCUGACCUGCACGAAUGGCGUAACGAUCUGGGCACUGUCUCAACCGGGGACUCAGCGAAAUUGCAGCAGCUGUGAAAAUGCAGCUUUACCGCAGCGGGACGGAAAGACCCCGUGAACCUUUACUAUAACUUGGCAAUGAUAUUUGGCAUAUUAUGUGUAGGAUAGGUGGGAGGCUAUGAAACGUGUGCGCUAGUAUACGUGGAGCCGUCGUUGAAAUACCACCCUUACUGUGCUGACUAUCUAACCUAGGCUUAGUGUAUAAGCAGGGACAUUGCCAGGCGGGUAGUUUGACUGGGGCGGUCGCCUCCGAAAGAGUAACGGAGGCGUGCGAAGGUACCCUCAAGUUGGUUGGACACCAACUGUCGAGUGCAAAAGCAUAAGGGUGCUUAACUGUGAGACUGACGAGUCGAACAGAUACGAAAGUAGGCUUUAGUGAUCCGGUGAUACCGAAUGGAAGGGUCAUCGCUCAACGGAUAAAAGGUACUCCGGGGAUAACAGGCUGAUUCCUCCCAAGAGUUCAUAUCGACGGGGGAGUUUGGCACCUCGAUGUCGGCUCAUCACAUCCUGGGGCUGUAGCAGGUCCCAAGGGUUCGGCUGUUCGCCGAUUAAAGUGGUACGCGAGCUGGGUUCAAAACGUCGUGAGACAGUUUGGUCCUUAUCCGCUGUGGUCGUAAGAGAAUUGAAGAGAUUUGUCCCUAGUACGAGAGGACCGGGAUGAACGAACCGCUGGUGUGUGGGUUGUUGCGCCAGAAGCAUCGCCCAGUAGCCAAGUUCGGAACGGAUAACCGCUGAAAGCAUCUAAGUGGGAAGCCGGCUCUAAGAUAAUUUCUCUCUAACGUAAGUUACUAAAGGUCCCUUCUAGACUAGGAGGAGAUAGGUUGGGUGUGUAAGCACUUAAUAGGUGUUGAGCUAACCAAUACUAAUAGACCGAGCGGCUUGUUU
RNAcentral lists this ribosomal RNA (2901 nucleotides) under Deferribacterales bacterium. RNAcentral describes it as "23S ribosomal RNA". It matches the Rfam family "Bacterial large subunit ribosomal RNA". Lineage: Bacteria; Pseudomonadati; Deferribacterota; Deferribacteres; Deferribacterales. The record is from RNAcentral. RNAcentral also lists the same sequence under 1 other name.